RNAcentral lists this ribosomal RNA (504 nucleotides) under uncultured bacterium. RNAcentral's name for it is "partial 16S ribosomal RNA". It matches the Rfam family "Bacterial small subunit ribosomal RNA", at positions 29 to 523 of the family's 1533-position model. The record is from RNAcentral.
AUUGAACGCUGGCGGCAGGCCUAACACAUGCAAGUCGGACGGUAGCACAGAGAGCUUGCUCUCGGGUGACGAGUGGCGGACGGGUGAGUAAUGUCUGGGGAUCUGCCCGAUAGAGGGGGAUAACCACUGGAAACGGUGGCUAAUACCGCAUAACGUCGCAAGACCAAAGAGGGGGACCUUCGGGCCUCUCACUAUCGGAUGAACCAAGAUGGGAUUAGCUAGUAGGCGGGGUAACGGCCCACCUAGGCGACGAUCCCUAGCUGGUCUGAGAGGAUGACCAGCCAACCUGGAACUUAGACACGGUCCAGACGCCUACGGGAGGCAGCAGUGGGGAAUAUUGCACAAUGGGCGCAAGCCUGAUGCAGCCAUGCCGCGUGUAUGUAGAAGGCCUUCGGGUUGUAAAGUACUUUCAGCGGGGAGGAAGGCGAUGUGGUUAAUAACCGCGUCGAUUGACGUUACCCGCAGAAGAAGCACCGGCUAACUCCGUGCCAGCCGCCGCAGUAA